Non-coding RNA from Paramuricea clavata, 344 nucleotides. Lineage: Eukaryota; Metazoa; Cnidaria; Anthozoa; Malacalcyonacea; Plexauridae. The record is from the annotation of a GenBank genome assembly.
CACUGAAAUGCAUUUUCGCUGUUAUGGCUGCCAUCGACUGCAAUGAGAACUACGCGACCACUAUUUGUUUCUUGUGCUGCCAUAUUUGACAAGCGGAGUGUUUCUUUGUUUGCGUUCCAGUGAUUUCAGACUGCAAAUGUGGCUGGCCAACUGGGUCCAACUGGGCGAUCGGUCGCGUUUGAAUUUCACCAAACACAGAAAUAAAGCAAUAUCAUCAAAAUUUCCAUAUAUAUAUGUAGAUCAUUAAGGCAGCAUUUUGACAGUUGUAAUGAAAGAUUGCUAAAUAUUAAUCAUCGACGUUCAAUUAUUAUAUUGUGUUUUAAUGUUCUGAUUCGCAAGUUCGA